UGGGGAAUUUUGGACAAUGGGCGCAAGCCUGAUCCAGCAAUGCCGCGUGCAGGAUGAAGGCCUUCGGGUUGUAAACUGCCUUUGUACGGAGCGAAAAGGUCUGCCCUAAUACGGUGGGCUCAUGACGGUACCGUAAGAAUAAGCACCGGCUAACUACGUGCCAGCAGCCGCGGUAAUACGUAGGGUGCAAGCGUUAAUCGGAAUUACUGGGCGUAAAGCGUGCGCAGGCGGUUAUGCAAGACAGAGGUGAAAUCCCCGGGCUCAACCUGGGACCUGCAUUUGUGACUGUAUAGCUAGAGUACGGUAGAGGGGGAUGGAAUUCCGCGUGUAGCAGUGAAAUGCGUAGAUAUGCGGAGGAACACCGAUGGCGAAGGCAAUCCCCUGGACCUGUACUGACGCUCAUGCACGAAAGCGUGGGGAGCAAACA
Molecule: ribosomal RNA, 427 nt
Filed under: uncultured bacterium
Lineage: Bacteria
Description: bacterial SSU rRNA
Rfam family: Bacterial small subunit ribosomal RNA
Source: RNAcentral